GCCCCCGUAGCUCAGCCUGGAUAGAGCGGCGGCCUUCUAAGCCGACGGUCGCGGGUUCGAAUCCCGCCGGGGGCA
The sequence is a transfer RNA, 75 nucleotides long. It matches the Rfam family "tRNA". Rfam says of the family: Transfer RNA (tRNA) molecules are approximately 80 nucleotides in length.